CAUAAUGCUGCAGUUUCUACUUUUUGGCACACUUGUCUCUCAGUAACAGCAAUAUCCUUCUGGUGUCUGUAUCUUUGCCAAAGAGUUAGAAAUAACCUUGAGAGUGGUGGCCAAGAAAAAACUCCUAAAGUAUACAGUAAUGUGUUAGAGUUUAUAAUCCUGAGACAUUAUUGUCAGGUUCCAAGAGAAUCUUGUUACCAUAGAGAUGAAUCAAGGAGAUAGAGGUACCUAGCCUAGACACUGGGUGGAAAAUAUUAAAAUUCAGCUGGCUCUCAAAGGUCUGUAACUUCCCCUCACCUGAGGUUGUGACAUGAGAGAUAGAAAGCUGUAUGCCAUGGGGACAGAUGAGCCCCACACACCCAAAAAGCCACAAAAAGGAGUGAAAAGAUUAGAUUCAGAGCAUGGUUUGUUGAGGUCACAGAAAGGAAGCAUCGGGCUAUCACCAAAGUCCAGGACAUCAUUUUGUACAAAGAGACACCUCACAUAGAGAAGAUUCAGCCUUAGAAAUGCUUAGCAAUCAUUCACAUCAAUCACAUGGAUCUGAGGAGAAAACCUGAGAAGAACAUCAAGCCAGAAGUCAGCUCUCUCCAGUGCCUCUCCAGUGCCUGGCAUACACAAACCUCUCAACAAAGAACUACUGCAUAAAUUAAUGGUGUUCAUGGGGCCUCUGCUGGAUAAACCCUCUCACCAAGAUUCAGGAGGGUUCCCCAGAGGUCUUUCCAGUCUCCUCAUUCUGGACCUGAUUCUCCAGGUACCAGUAACCACUGGACAUCUGCAACCUGAAAAACAGACAUAUCAUCACUCCACCUGCACUAACUUCCUAAGGCUGAUGUUACAACCUACCACAGACUUAGUGGUUUACCACAAUAGAAACGUUUAUAGAGGCCUGAUGUUCAAAAUCAAGAUUUCAGCAGGUCCAUGCUCUCUCUGAAGCCUCAAGGGAAGAAUCUUUUCUUUUUGUCCAGCAUUUGGAGGCUCCUGGAAUUCAGUGACUUGCAGCCACGUAACUCCAAUCUCUACUUCCAUCUUCAGUUGGCCUCCUUCCUUAUGUGUAUCUCUAUGUCCUCUCCUCUCCUGAAAUAAUUGGGUCCAGGGCCCACCCUGAAUCCAGGGCUAUUUCAUCUGAAGAACUUUGACUAAUUACAUAUAUACAAGGGUCCUAUUUUUAAAUAAGGUCACAUUCUGAGAUUCCAAGUGGAUACAAAUUUGGGGAGGUCAUGACUCAAUCUACUACACCUCCAAAUUCAUUGCAACUAUGAGUAAGGCUUGAACUUAUUCACUAUCUAGUGUCUUGGGGACCAAGCUACAUCUUUCUCACUAAUUGUAAUGACUGGUAUUUUACUCAGUUCAGGCUUAGAAUGCCAUAGCCUGGGGAGUGUAACUCCAAGAUCAGGGUGCCAGCAUGGUCAGGUUCUGGUGAAAAUUCUCUUCUGGAUUGUGGAUAGUCAUUUUCUGGUUAUACACUCACAUGGUGGGGAGGGCAAGAGAAAGCUUUCUAGGGUUUCUUUUAUAAGGAACUAAUCCCAUUCAUAAGGGCUCCACUUCUAUGACCUAACUACCUCCCAAAGACCCUACCUCCUAAUAAUACUAUCGUAUUGGGGGUUAGGAUUUCAACAUAUGAAUUUGGAGAGGGAAAGAUGCAAACAUUUAGUCCAUAAUAAUUGGUCAAAAAAGGAAAAUAAAAAGCUUAAUAAUUAUAAACCA
This 1704-nucleotide long non-coding RNA is filed under the name Felis catus (domestic cat). Its description in RNAcentral is "lncRNA (ENSFCAG00000051434.1)". Lineage: Eukaryota; Metazoa; Chordata; Mammalia; Carnivora; Felidae. The record is from RNAcentral.